AAUACGUAUGGUGCAAGCGUUAUCCGGAUUUACUGGGUGUAAAGGGAGCGUAGACGGAUGGGCAAGUCUGAUGUGAAAACCCGGGGCUCAACCCCGGGACUGCAUUGGAAACUGUUCAUCUAGAGUGCUGGAGAGGUAAGUGGAAUUCCUAGUGUAGCGGUGAAAUGCGUAGAUAUUAGGAGGAACACCAGUGGCGAAGGCGGCUUACUGGACAGUAACUGACGUUGAGGCUCGAAAGCGUGGGGAGCAAACA
RNAcentral lists this ribosomal RNA (253 nucleotides) under uncultured bacterium. Its description in RNAcentral is "partial 16S ribosomal RNA". It matches the Rfam family "Bacterial small subunit ribosomal RNA", at positions 522 to 774 of the family's 1533-position model. The record is from RNAcentral.